AACGCACGAGACCUGCGGACCUGCGGAAGGAUCAUUACCGAGUGUUACAGCUCCCAAACCCACUGUGAACGUACCCAUCGUUGCUUCGGCGGGACCGCCCCGGCGCCUCCGCGCGCCGGGCACGGGCGCCCGCCGGGGGCCCGAAACUCUUGCCUCCUCGCGUGGAUUCUCUGAGUGGCACGAAAAGGGAAAAUGAAUCAAAACUUUUAGCAAUGGAUCUCUAGAUCGGAAGAGCACACG
RNAcentral lists this unclassified non-coding RNA (240 nucleotides) under soil metagenome. RNAcentral describes it as "partial contains 5.8S ribosomal RNA, internal transcribed spacer 2, and large subunit ribosomal RNA". The record is from RNAcentral.